AAAGAAUUAGUUAAAUUAUAUAACAUUAGAAUGUCAAACUAAAAUUAUUAAUUAAAUUAAUAUUCUUUA
RNAcentral lists this transfer RNA (69 nucleotides) under Pterostichus oblongopunctatus. Its description in RNAcentral is "tRNA-Asp". Lineage: Eukaryota; Metazoa; Arthropoda; Insecta; Coleoptera; Carabidae. RNAcentral also lists the same sequence under 1 other name. The record is from RNAcentral.